AACGUAGGUGGCGAGCGUUAUCCGGAUUUACUGGGCGUAAAGCGCGUGCAGGCGGCGACGCAAGUCGGGCAUGAAAGCCCCCGGCUCAACCGGGGGAGGCUGUCCGAUACUGCGCCGCUUGAGGGCUGGAGAGGGUGGUGGAAUUCCACGUGUAGCGGUGAAAUGCGUAGAGAUGUGGAGGAACACCAGUGGCGAAGGCGGCUUUCUGGUCUGUAACUGACGCUGAGGCGCGAAAGCGUGGGGAGCAAACAGG
Molecule: ribosomal RNA, 253 nt
Filed under: uncultured bacterium
Lineage: Bacteria
Description: partial 16S ribosomal RNA
Rfam family: Bacterial small subunit ribosomal RNA
Source: RNAcentral